Molecule: RNA transcript, 2272 nt
Organism: Nycticebus coucang (slow loris)
Lineage: Eukaryota; Metazoa; Chordata; Mammalia; Primates; Lorisidae
Gene name: mitochondrial import receptor subunit TOM20 homolog
Exons: 1
Source: RefSeq, a predicted model, not a curated record
AAGCUAGUAGUAAAUUAUAUUUGGAAGAAAAGAUGUGGGAAAAUAAAACUGUUAGAUUCCUUUGCUCUUGUGCUUGAUCACAGGCUCUAUUGUGUUAGGGAAGGCCAAGAAGAUUGUGAGGGUGCAGGUUCAAUAGAGUGAAUUCUCGAUAGGUUGGUCCAGUUACUAAUAAGGUUAUUAUAUUAAAAAUUCAGAUUUAUACAAAAUAUAAUGAUUAAUGAAAAGGGGAUUACUUAUAAAAAGACUUGAGACAUUUAUGGGCUGUAGAUAACACAGGCCUAGCACAGUUCUCAAGUAGGUGCCCGUUGGCGUUCAGCCACCCGAGAUUGAGCAAUAACAGGUCUGUGAUCCCUUAGAUGUCCAGGGCUGCACGCAUGCUAUACUGACUGGCUCAGCGUGUGCCUACCCUGAGCCGGCAAGGCGCGGGUAACCUGUUGAACCCCAUUCGUGAUGGGGAUCGGGGAUUGCAAUUAUUCCCCAUGAACAAGGAAUUCCCAGUAAGUGCGGGUCAUAAGCUUGCGUUGGUUAAGUCCCUGCCCUUUGUACACUAGUUAUGCGACCCCUAAGCAGUCGGCAUCCUCCAGCUUCUUAGAGGGACAAGUGGCGUUCAAGCCACCCGAGAUUGAGCAGUAAUAGGUCUGUGAUGCCCUUAGAUGUCAAGUAGGUGCCGGUAAGGUGUAUGUUGAAUAAUACUGAAAUAUUUAAAACUUGAGACUCUCUGGAAUAGAAAUAUUGGCCCUCGGCCUCCCCGAGUCCUGGGCUGGCAGGCAUCGGGGGCUGAGCGGCACCGUCCGCUCUGAGGUUUCGCGGCCGAGGUCCCCGCUGCCGUCUACAGUCUGUUCUAGAGAGAAAGAGAGAAGACGAUGGUAGGCCAGAACAGCGCCAUCGCCGCCGGGGUAUGCGGGGCCCUUUUCAUCCGGUACUGCAUUGACUUCGACCGCAAGAGACAGGAGUGACCCUAUUUUCAAGGACAGGCUUCGAGAACGAAGAAAGAAACAGAAGCUUGCCAAGGAGAGAGCUGGACUUUCCAAGUUACCUGACCUUAAAGAUGUUGAAGCUGCUCAGAAAUUCUUCCUUGAAGAAAUACAGCUUGGUGAAGAGCUACUAGCUCAAGGUGAAUAUGAGAAGGGCGUGGACCGCCUGACAAACGCGAUCGCUGUGUGUGGACAGCCCCAGUAGUUACUGCAGGUACUUGCGGCAGACUCUGCCAGCACCAGUGUUCCAGAUGCUUCUGAGUAAGCUCCCGACAAUUAGUCAGAGAAUUGUAAGUGCUCAGAGCUUGGCUGAAGAUGAUGUGGAAUAAGAAACAUUCAACAUAAUAAAAUCUCAGUUUAAAAUAUUUUAAAAAUUCUUAACUCGGAAGUUGAGCAGCUCUGGGGUAAUAAGGGCAAAUAUGCUUGUUACCGACUGUCCUACACUGAAAUCUACAAAGUUAAUGUUUACUUUGUGUAGAUCCAUUUGUCUGAUUUAUUUAUUUUUCCCAGUGAAAAGUGUAUUUUGAUAGAGAGCUUUUCAUUUUACACUACGAGUUACUGAAAUACCAUAGGUUUUGUUUAUUUCUAAAAUAUGCAAUUAAAAUGUACGUAAAUAUAACAUAACUUACGUUCACAAUACCUGGUGCUCAGUUUUGAAAGAGGCAAAAAAAGUGUAAGAGAGAACUAAAGAUGCGCAUUUUUAAAGCCAGUAUAUUUUGUUAUAAAUCAGAAAAUUAUAUAGAAACAUUGUGAAAACUGAGCAUUAAAGUUUUUGAGCGAUCUUAUUCUUUCCAUUUAAUCUCUCAAACACAAAUUUGUGAGGUGUGCUGCUGUGCUGUGUUAACAGCCCCCCACCCUCCACCCCCAUGUAUCAGUCCUCGCAAUGCUUUGUUUAAAUCAGUGGUCUUGAUGUGUUCUGGGUAUUUCUCUCCUUGUAUUUUAAAUAUAUGUAGUUGUAAAUGGCAUCACAGGAAUUAGAUCUAUGUACACUCCUACUCUGGCCAUGUGGGCUUUGCUAGUUCUCAUCUGCUCACUUCGCUCACUUCAUUCACUGAGGAGAUCGGGUUGCUGAUCUCUGAAGCAGUCUUUCAGCUUCUCAUUCAUUUGGUGUUCAGUUCAGCAUCUUUAAAUCCACCUUCACGUGAGUGUAUGUGGACAACCAGGCCUUGCGUUUUUAUAUUCUGAAUUUUGCAUGCUUGCCUGACUUGUAGUUCCGAAUUGACCUGUUUGGUGUAUGGUUUUGUCACUGCUCUGUGAAUUAAUAAGAAACUUAACAUUUAUGGUAACUGGGAUGAUUU